GACCAAAUGAAAUCAUCAGCAGCGUACCUGUUUGGUGGAACCCCUGCAGUAGACCUACUGGAUCUCCGGAGGUCUUGACUAUCUGCUAGGACCUGACUUUCUCCACUGGGACCUGCCAGUCUGGAUUUAUC
Molecule: long non-coding RNA, 131 nt
Organism: Bufo bufo (common toad)
Lineage: Eukaryota; Metazoa; Chordata; Amphibia; Anura; Bufonidae
Exons: 3
Source: RefSeq, a predicted model, not a curated record